UAAGACGAGCCACCCGAACGUUAUUCGGAAUUACUGGGCUUAAAGGGUGCGUAGGCGGUGUAGCAAGUCGGGAGUGAAAUACCCCAGCUUAACUGAGGAAUUGCUUUCGAUACUGCUGCGCUUGAGUGAGACAGAGGUAAGCGGAACUUAGGGUGGAGCGGUGAAAUGCGUUGAUAUCCUAAGGAACACCGGUGGCGAAGGCGGCUUACUGGGUCUCAACUGACGCUGAGGCACGAAAGCUAGGGUAGCAAACGGGAUUAGAUACCCCGGUAGUCCUAGCCGUAAACCAUGAGCACUUGAUUGAAGGGCCCUCCAUAGCCCUUCAGUCGGAGCGAAAGUGUUAAGUGCUCCGCCUGGGGAGUAUGGUCGCAAGGCUG
This 377-nucleotide ribosomal RNA is filed under the name uncultured bacterium. Its description in RNAcentral is "bacterial SSU rRNA". It matches the Rfam family "Bacterial small subunit ribosomal RNA", at positions 521 to 896 of the family's 1533-position model. The record is from RNAcentral.